CUCAGUUCGGAUCGGAGUCUGCAACCCGACUCCGUGAAGCUGGAUUCGCUAGUAAUCGCGCAUCAGCCAUGGCGCGGUGAAUACGUUCCCGGGCCUUGUACACACCGCCCGUCAAGCCAUGGAAGCCGGGGGGCGCUUGAAGUGCGUUGCCGCAAGGCGCGCCCUAGAGCAAAACCGGUGACUGGGGCUAAGUCGUAACAAGGUACC
RNAcentral lists this ribosomal RNA (207 nucleotides) under uncultured bacterium. Its description in RNAcentral is "partial 16S ribosomal RNA". It matches the Rfam family "Bacterial small subunit ribosomal RNA", at positions 1287 to 1500 of the family's 1533-position model. The record is from RNAcentral.